UAAAUUUUGUCAAUAAAGAACGGUUGAAUUGAUGCUAUCAAUUCAACCUUAUUUUUUAAAAAGUCUUAAUUGCUUUUCGACGCAUUACAUCUUCAAAUAAGCAAUAUUUUGCGCAGAGCUUCUGCUAAUUUUAAAGAAAAAUGGAUGUGGAAAGAACCUUUGGACUCGAACUGAUGUACAGGAAGUGGUUCAACGGCAACAUUGCCGGGGGGAAGGACGCCGAAUCUGGGCCACAAUCGCGAGCGCCAAGUAUAUGGUACCACUCUCGCUUUCCAAAUAAUAAUUAUUUAAUACCCGAAGUGGAAUGGAGCGCCGCCUCACAGUGAAAUGUGGUUGAAGGCGAUACUCCUGAUGUGCUGCAAAGUACUCCGAAAAAAUCGAAAUUUCAUCACUUUCGUCUCCGAUGUGUUUGGACAACAGGAUGACUACGCAGAACUUACGUCAAAGGCCAACUUGCCCCUUUCUAAAAAGGAAUCGUGACAUUCCUUCCGAAGAAAAGAGGUAACGCGAUACAUAUUCGCACCUGGAUAACCGCACGCUGAUUUCCACUUGACCAAUUAUCCGGACCAAACUGAGACCAUAAAAAAUUGAUUUUUUUUAUAACCCUUUCAUCCUUUCUUUCAACUGCAAAAUUUUCUUGUAAGAUGAUAUAUCUCCUGAUAUGUAGAGUGCAUAAAUUGGAAUUUUCUUUCAAAUUGUGGUACUUUAGUAUGUAUGUUAAAUGCGCUCAAACGAAAACACUUCCAAGUCUGGAGGCUUUUGUAAUAAAAAGGCAAUUUCGAAAACUGGGACAAUUUAAGUGCAUUUAAAUUCUGGUGCAUUCAAUAAUUGAAAGUGUUUUUAAGAUCGAACGCUUUCAAA
Long non-coding RNA from Belonocnema kinseyi, 861 nucleotides. RefSeq lists it as uncharacterized. NCBI's taxonomy places the organism in Eukaryota, Metazoa, Arthropoda, Insecta, Hymenoptera, Cynipidae. The record is from RefSeq and is a predicted model, not a curated record. The transcript is spliced from 3 exons.